UACAGAGACUGCAAGCGUUAUUCGGAUUUACUGGGCGUAAAGGGCGCGCAGGCGGCUGGGUGUGUCAGAUGUGAAAUCCCGAGGCUCAACCUCGGAACUGCGUCUGAAACUACUCGGCUAGAGUAUUGGAGAGGGUAACGGAAUUCACGGUGUAGCGGUGAAAUGCGUAGAUAUCGGGAGGAACACCAGAGGCGAAGGCGGUUACCUGGACAAUUACUGACGCUGAGGCGCGAAAGCGUGGGGAGCAAAAGGG
This 253-nucleotide ribosomal RNA is filed under the name uncultured bacterium. RNAcentral's name for it is "partial 16S ribosomal RNA". It matches the Rfam family "Bacterial small subunit ribosomal RNA", at positions 524 to 776 of the family's 1533-position model. The record is from RNAcentral.